RNAcentral lists this ribosomal RNA (3097 nucleotides) under Halosaccharopolyspora lacisalsi. RNAcentral's name for it is "Saccharopolyspora lacisalsi Bacterial large subunit ribosomal RNA". It matches the Rfam family "Bacterial large subunit ribosomal RNA". Lineage: Bacteria; Bacillati; Actinomycetota; Actinomycetes; Pseudonocardiales; Pseudonocardiaceae. The record is from Rfam by way of RNAcentral.
GUGGCAAGUUAGACGGGCACAUGGUGGAUGCCUAGGCACCAGGGGCCGAUGAAGGACGUGGGAGGCUGCGAUAAGCCUCGGGGAGUUGUCUACCGAGCGGUGAUCCGAGGAUGUCCGAAUGGGGAAACCCAGCCCGAGUGAUGUCGGGUUACCCGCACCUGAAUGUAUAGGGUGUGUGGAGGGAACGCGGGGAAGUGAAACAUCUCAGUACCCGUAGGAAGAGAAAACACUGGUGAUUCCGCUAGUAGUGGCGAGCGAACGCGGAACAGGCUAAACCACGCGCGUGGAAACCGGAUAGGGGUUGCGUGUGUGGGGUCGUUGGGGCCCGCUGGGCGGAUCUAUUCGUCUGCCAGGGUCGUGCUGUGGUGAGCCGAACACCGUGGAGGCGGUGACCGGAGUGGGUGAUGAGUCCCGUAGGUGAACACUGCAGGCAUGGCCUGGGGCGGUGGCCCCGAGUAGCAGCGUUUCCGUGGAGGGCGUUGUGAAUCGGGCGGGACCACUCGCUAAGCCUAAAUACUUCCUGGUGACCGAUAGCGGAUAGUACCGUGAGGGAAUGGUGAAAAGUACCCCGGGAGGGGAGUGAAAGAGUACCUGAAACCAUGUGCCCCCAAACCGUCAGAGCGCCCUGUGCGGGUGUGAUGGCGUGCCUUUUGAAGAAUGAGCCUGCGAGUCGCGGCUGCGUGGCGAGGUUAACCCGUUGUGGGGUAGCCGGAGCGAAAGCGAGUCUGAAUAGGGCGUCGAAGUCGCGUGGUGCGGACCCGAAGCGGAGUGAGCUACCCAUGGCCAGGGUGAAGCGCGGGUAAGACCGUGUGGAGGCCCGCACCCACCAGGGUUGAAAACCUGGGGGAUGAGCUGUGGGUAGGGGUGAAAGGCCAAUCAAACUUCGUGAUAGCUGGUUCUCCCCGAAAUGCAUUGAGGUGCAGCGUCACGUGGUGCCCGGGUGGGGUAGAGCACUGGUUGGUGGCGGGGCCCGAUGAGGGUUACCAACGUCAGCCAAACUCCGAAUACGCCCGUGGUAGCAGCGUGGCAGUGAGUCCGUGGGGGAAAAGCUCCACGGUCGAGAGGGAAACAGCCCAGAACACCGGCUAAGGCCCCUAAGUGUGCGCUUAGUGGAAAAGGAUGUGGGAUUGCCCAGACAACCAGGAGGUUGGCUUAGAAGCAGCCAUCCUUGAAAGAGUGCGUAAUAGCUCACUGGUCGAGUGAUCCUGCGCCGAUAAUGUAGCGGGGCUCAAGCGUACCGCCGAAGCCGUGUCACCGUGCCCAACACUGUUGGGUGGGGUGGGUAGGGGAGCGUCCCCCACUGCGCGGAAGCAUCGGUGUAAACCGGUGUGGAGUGUGGGGGAGUGAGAAUGCAGGCAUGAGUAGCGCAUGGAAAGUGAGAAUCUUUCCCGCCGAAUGACCAAGGGUUCCUGGGGCAGGUUCGUCCGCCCAGGGUGAGUCGGGGCCUAAGGCGAGGCCGACAGGCGUAGUCGAUGGACAACGGGUUGAUAUUCCCGUACCCGUGGGCACGCGCCCAUGGCGGAACCGGGGACACUAACCAUCCCGCUGCCCGCGCCGGCUUUCGAGCCGGUGUGGAGUCCAGUGGCAUGGGACCUGAUCCGGGAGUAGUCAAGCGAUGGGGUGACGCAGCAGGGUAGCCCGAGCCAGUGAGUGGUAGUACUGGUGUAAACCCGUAGCCCGCCGUCCAGGCAAAUCCGGACGGCUGCAGGGGUGAGAGGUGAGACCGAGCCGUUGUGGCGAAGUCGGUGAUCCCGCACUGCCGAGAAAAGCCUCUAGCGAUGUGUGUCCAUGGCCCGUACCCGAAACCGACACAGGUGGUCUGGUUGAGUAUACCAAGGCGAUCGGGUGAACUGUGGUUAAGGAAUUCGGCAAAUUGCCCCCGUAACUUCGGGAGAAGGGGGGCCACCCCCGGUGUAGCACCGCGCGUGUGAAGCUCGGGGUGGCCGCAGAGGCCAGGGAGAAGCGACUGUUUACUAAAAACACAGGUCCGUGCGAAGUCGUAAGACGAGGUAUACGGACUGACGCCUGCCCGGUGCUGGAACGUUAACAGGACUCGUUACCCACCAUGUGGGGAAGCGGAGAAUGGAAGCGCCAGUAAACGGCGGUGGUAACUAUAACCAUCCUAAGGUAGCGAAAUUCCUUGUCGGGUAAGUUCCGACCUGCACGAAUGGCGUAACGACUUCUCCGCUGUCUCGACCACAGGCCCGGUGAAAUUGCAGGACGAGUAAAGAUGCUCGUUUCGCGCGGCAGGACGGAAAGACCCCGGGACCUUUACUAUAGCUUGGUAUUGGCGCGGGCUACGGCUUGUGUAGGAUAGGUGGGAGACUGCGAAGCCCUCUACGCCAGUGGGGGUGGAGUCGUUGGUGAAAUACCACUCUGGUCGCAGCGUGCGUCUCACGUCGAACCCUGAUCGGGUUCACGGACAGUGCCUGGUGGGUAGUUUAACUGGGGCGGUUGCCUCCUAAAGAGUAACGGAGGCGCCCAACGGUUCCCUCAGCCUGGUUGGCAAUCAGGCCGCGAGUGUAAGUGCACAAGGGAGCUUGACUGUGAGACUGACGGGUCGAGCAGGUGCGAAAGCAGGGACUAGUGAUCCGGCACUGGCAGGUGGAAGCGGUGUCGCUCAACGGAUAAAAGGUACCCCGGGGAUAACAGGCUGAUCUUGCCCAAGAGUCCAUAUCGACGGCAUGGUUUGGCACCUCGAUGUCGGCUCGUCGCAUCCUGGGGCUGGAGUGGGUCCCAAGGGUUGGGCUGUUCGCCCAUUAAAGCGGCACGCGAGCUGGGUUUAGAACGUCGUGAGACAGUUCGGUCCCUAUCCGCCGCGCGCGCAGGAGACCUGCGGAAAGCUGUCCCCAGUACGAGAGGACCGGGACGGACGAACCUCUGGUGUGCCAGUUGUCCCGCCCGGGGCACGGCUGGUUGGCUACGUUCGGCACGGAUAACCGCUGAAAGCAUCUAAGCGGGAAGCCCGUUCCCAGAUGAGGUCUCCCACCCCCAGUGGGUUAAGGCCCCCACCCGACCAGUGGGUUGAUAGGCCCGACAUGCACGCACAGCAAUGUGUUCAGUGGACGGGUACUAACCGGCCGAGGACUUACCCCAC